RNAcentral lists this ribosomal RNA (472 nucleotides) under uncultured bacterium. Its description in RNAcentral is "bacterial SSU rRNA". It matches the Rfam family "Bacterial small subunit ribosomal RNA", at positions 329 to 793 of the family's 1533-position model. The record is from RNAcentral.
CUACGCACUCCUACGGGAGGCAGCAGUGGGGAAUAUUGCACAAUGGGCGCAAGCCUGAUGCAGCCAUGCCGCGUGUAUGAAGAAGGCCUUCGGGUUGUAAAGUACUUUCAGCAGUGAGGAAGGUGGGUAUGUUAAUAGCAUAUUCAUUUGACGUUAGCUGCAGAAGAAGCACCGGCUAACUCCGUGCCAGCAGCCGCGGUAAUACGGAGGGUGCGAGCGUUAAUCGGAAUUACUGGGCGUAAAGCGCAUGCAGGUGGUUUGUUAAGUCAGAUGUGAAAGCCCGGGGCUCAACCUCGGAAUUGCAUUUGAAACUGGCAAACUAGAGUACUGUAGAGGGGGUAGAAUUUCAGGUGUAGCGGUGAAAUGCGUAGAGAUCUGAAGGAAUACCGGUGGCGAAGGCGGCCCCCCUGGACAGAUACUGACACUCAGAUGCGAAAGCGUGGGGAGCAAACAGGAUUAGAUACCCUGGUAG